GAUCGUUUCGGCAUUGAGGGAGCAUUGGACCCAGAGUGGAAACCAUGACACGGUAGCUGGCCUGGGACCGAGGGACCCUUUCUAGUCUUUCUCUGAGUUCUUUGAAUAUCUGCCUUUCCAGCUUCCCGUCUUUUGUGUCUGGUUCGAAAUCAUUAUGAGGGAGAGUGUAUAUCUCUGAGUGUGUCAGUUCGAAAAGACGGCCUUUCUGUUUCCCACCCCUGCUGGGUUCUCUAGCCUUACCAGGCAGAAGAGCGAGCGAACAAACGAACGAUUGGGACAAAGCGCCAGCGACUCGAGAUACUUCAGAUGACGUUUACACGGUCGUUGUUUCCAAACCGCUGCUUGACGCGUAUUAAGACACAUCUGUGGGCUUGCUGCAUAAUUUAAAGCUUUGUUGAUCUUGUUUCUGUUUGAACUUUCGGUUACGGGGGUUGGGGGGGGGCCCACGCCCCACGCCGCCGGUCGUACAUGAGAGUUGUUGAAAGUCAACAAGCCGAGUGCGCCUGAUUGCUCUGUGUCAGCCUUUACUUUUAUUUUUAUGAGUUUGCUCUGUCAAUGGACAAUAAAUCAUAUUAUCAAAGAC
This 583-nucleotide long non-coding RNA is filed under the name Rattus norvegicus (Norway rat). RNAcentral describes it as "long non-coding RNA NONRATT006319". Lineage: Eukaryota; Metazoa; Chordata; Mammalia; Rodentia; Muridae. The record is from RNAcentral.